CAUCCAUCUUGUUGCUCCCUCUUCUGCUGAGUCAAGUGGGCUCACUUCCAUCUUCUGUUCCUGCCAGUAGGAAGAAGGGGAAAGGAAGUGGAGGAUGAAUGUCUCAAUAACAUAGUUUAGAGACUUAUGAUCAGCCAGUCAGGCUCAUAUGCUUGCUCAAGUUUGUUUGCUCACUGAUAACCAAAUCAAAGGAGGCCAUUUACAAUGGUGGGAAAAAGGAUUUAUUCAGAGCUAGCUCUGAGGAAAUGGAGGAGCUCAUUUGCCUUGAAUCAUCAUCUCUCCAUGUACAAGUUAGUAAGGGUCUUGAGAGCUGAUGUCUUCCCACCUCCCCAAAUGUCCAGCUGUCUAUGAACUGUUGCUUGCUGCUGUCUCAUGGGCUCCUCCCACUUAGCAUGCAAAAGUCAAACUCCUCCUCAGCCUUUUCCAGAACUUGCCCUUCUUGCAUCCUUUGUUUUCAGGAAUGUCACAGUUAGCUACUUGCUCAUGCCAGGGAAACUAAAUUUAAUAAUUAUAGAAGAUUCCUCCUUUUCGUUGGAUGUCUUGCAUGCAGUCAGGUAUCAGACUUGAUGACCCUGGUUAUUGGCUUCUACGAACAAGGUGUGGAGUCAUUGAGCCUUGGCACUUGUACUCAAAAUGGAGCAACCCAGGUCAGGUUCCUGCUUUAUGAAAUGGAGUAACUCACACCAGGUGUGCUGCUGCACCCCUGUAUGCUGAGGCAAGAGGACCACAGGUUCCAGCAACUUAGGGAGAAUGUUUCUUAAAAUAAAAAAAUAAUUGUUAAAAAGUGCCUG
Molecule: long non-coding RNA, 791 nt
Filed under: Fukomys damarensis (Damara mole-rat)
Lineage: Eukaryota; Metazoa; Chordata; Mammalia; Rodentia; Bathyergidae
Description: lncRNA (ENSFDAG00000023632.1)
Source: RNAcentral